UACGAAGGGGGCUAGCGUUGCUCGGAAUCACUGGGCGUAAAGGGCGCGUAGGCGGCCAUUCAAGUCGGGGGUGAAAGCCCAGGGCUCAACCCUGGAAUUGCCUUCGAUACUGUUUGGCUAGAGACCGGAAGAGGUAAGUGGAACUGCGAGUGUAGAGGUGAAAUUCGUAGAUAUUCGCAAGAACACCAGUGGCGAAGGCGGCUUACUGGCCCGGUACUGACGCUGAGGUGGCGAAAGCGUGGGGAGCAAACAGG
This 254-nucleotide ribosomal RNA is filed under the name uncultured bacterium. RNAcentral describes it as "partial 16S ribosomal RNA". It matches the Rfam family "Bacterial small subunit ribosomal RNA", at positions 524 to 776 of the family's 1533-position model. The record is from RNAcentral.